RNAcentral lists this ribosomal RNA (119 nucleotides) under Pteropus alecto (black flying fox). Lineage: Eukaryota; Metazoa; Chordata; Mammalia; Chiroptera; Pteropodidae. The record is from RNAcentral.
GUCUACGGCCAUGCUACCCUGAGCAAGCCUGAUCCCGUCUGACCUCGGAAGCUAAGCAGGCUCAGGCCUUGUUAGUACUUGGAUGAGAGACCACCUAGGAAAACCAGGUGCUGUCGGCA